UUCCAGCUCUCCUAGUGUAUCUCGUUAUUGCUGCGGUUAAAAAGCUCGUAGUUGGAUCUAGGUUACGUGCCGCAGUUCGCAAUUUGCGUUAACUGUGGUCGUGACUUCUAAUUUGCUGGUUUGAGGUUGGGUUCGCCCUUCAACUGCCAGCAGGUUUACCUUGAAUAAAUCAGAGUGCUCAAUACAGGCGCUUGCUUGAAUAGCUCAUCAUGGAAUAAUGAAACAGGACUUCGGUUCUUUUUGUUGGUUCUAGAAUUGAUCUAAUGGUUAAGAGGGACAAACCGGGGGCAUUCGUAUCAUUACGCGAGAGGUGAAAUUCGUGGACCGUAGUGAGACGCCCAAUAGCGAAAGCAUUUGCCAAGAAUGUCUUCAUUAAUCAAGAACGAAAGUCAGAGGUUCGAAGGCGAUUAGAUACCGCCCUAGUUCUGACCGUAAACGAUGCCAUCUCGCGAUUCGGAGGGUUCAUGCCCUACCGAGGAGCUACCCGGAAACGAAAGUCUUUCGGUUCCGGGGGUAGUAUGGUUGCAAAGCUGAAACUUAAAGAAAUUGACGGAAGGGCACCACAAGGCGUGGAGCUUGCGGCUUAAUUUGACUCAACACGGGAAAACUCACCCGGUCCGGACACUAUUAGGACUGACAGAUUGAAAGCUCUUUCUCGAUUUGGUGGUUGGUGGUGCAUGGCCGUUCUUAGUUGGUGGAGUGAUUUGUCUGGUUUAUUCCGAUAACGAGCGAGACUCUAGCCUGCUAAAUAGUCGACGAAUCUUCGGGUUCGUAUAACUUCUUAGAGGGAUAAGCGGUGUUUAGCCGCACGAGAUUGAGCGAUAACAGGUCUGUGAUGCCCUUAGAUGUCCGGGGCUGCACGCGUGCUACACUGGUGGAGUCAGCGGGUUUUUCCUAUGCCGAAAGGUAUCGGUAAACCGUUGAACUUCUUCCAUGUCCGGGAUAGGGUAUUGUAAUUAUUACCCUUAAACGAGGAAUGCCUAGUAAGUGUGAGUCAUCAGCUCACGUUGAUUACGUCCCUGCCCUUUGUACACACCGCCCGUCGCUAUCCGGGACUGAACUGAUUCGAGAAGAGUGGGGACUGUGGCUGCGAGGUUUUACCACUUCGC
This 1109-nucleotide ribosomal RNA is filed under the name Caenorhabditis japonica. RNAcentral's name for it is "SSU rRNA". It matches the Rfam family "Eukaryotic small subunit ribosomal RNA", at positions 583 to 1742 of the family's 1831-position model. Lineage: Eukaryota; Metazoa; Nematoda; Chromadorea; Rhabditida; Rhabditidae. The record is from RNAcentral.